RNAcentral lists this transfer RNA (75 nucleotides) under Mesotoga sp. Brook.08.YT.4.2.5.4. Its description in RNAcentral is "tRNA-Arg". It matches the Rfam family "tRNA". From Rfam's summary of the family: Transfer RNA (tRNA) molecules are approximately 80 nucleotides in length. RNAcentral also lists the same sequence under 9 other names. The record is from RNAcentral. Lineage: Bacteria; Thermotogati; Thermotogota; Thermotogae; Kosmotogales; Kosmotogaceae.
GCCCCUAUAGUUCAACGGAUAGAACAGCGGAUUCCUAAUCCGCAGAUGAAGGUUCGAUUCCUUCUGGGGGUACCA